UAAAAUUGACUUCUCUGCAUGUAGAAAUGGAAAUGAUUCUGGUAAGGCAAGCACUUCAUUAAAACAUUUGUGACAGCCUAGAUGUGAUGUAACUGCUAAAAGAAAUUCAUAUAGUUAGAUUUGCAGAAGGACUUAGCUGUCAUUUCCCUGGUGCUCUUACCUGGAGAUGAAGUACCUUCCACGCUACAUUUAAGAAACUGGAAGAACUUUCACAACAGUUCAUGCCUUUAAUGAGGGCUAUGGUUGAGAAAUUAAGUUGCCCAACUACAGAUUAAGGUCAUCCCCAGCUGUCUUUGAGUUCAGCCACAACAAAAAGAAGC
This 320-nucleotide long non-coding RNA is filed under the name Cairina moschata (Muscovy duck). RNAcentral describes it as "domestica (muscovy Duck (domestic type)) lncRNA (ENSCMMG00000017056.1)". Lineage: Eukaryota; Metazoa; Chordata; Aves; Anseriformes; Anatidae. The record is from RNAcentral.